UACGUAGGGGGCAAGCGUUGUCCGGAUUUACUGGGCGUAAAGAGCGUGUAGGCGGUCCGGUAAGUCAGCUGUGAAAGUCAAGGGCUCAACCCUUGAAUGCCGGUUGAUACUGUCGGGCUAGAGUCCGGAAGAGGCGAGUGGAAUUCCCGGUGUAGCGGUGAAAUGCGCAGAUAUCGGGAGGAACACCAAUGGCGAAGGCAGCUCGCUGGGACGGUACUGACGCUGAGACGCGAAAGCGUGGGGAGCAAACAGG
RNAcentral lists this ribosomal RNA (253 nucleotides) under uncultured bacterium. Its description in RNAcentral is "partial 16S ribosomal RNA". It matches the Rfam family "Bacterial small subunit ribosomal RNA", at positions 524 to 776 of the family's 1533-position model. The record is from RNAcentral.